This 804-nucleotide ribosomal RNA is filed under the name uncultured fungus. RNAcentral's name for it is "eukaryotic LSU rRNA". It matches the Rfam family "Eukaryotic large subunit ribosomal RNA", at positions 24 to 664 of the family's 3401-position model. The record is from RNAcentral. Lineage: Eukaryota; Fungi.
CCCGCUGAACUUAAGCAUAUUAUUAAGCGGAGGAAAAGAAACUAACAAGGAUGCCCUCAGUAACGGCGAGUGAAGCGGGCAAAGCUCAACCUGAAAAUCGGUUUUCCAAACGGGAUACCGAAUUGUGGGCUACAGACGUGUGAUCAGUGUGUGACCUGGGUAUAAGUGUUGUUGGAAAACGCUAUCAUAGAGGGUGAUAAUCCCGUCCGUGACCCGGAGUUCGCCGCGUACGAUCCAUGUUCGCAGAGUCGCGUUGUUUGGGAUUGCAGCGCUAAAUGGGUGGUAAAUUUCAUCUAAAGCUAAAUAUCGACGAGAGACCGAUAGCGAACAAGUACCGUGAGGGAAAGAUGAAAAGAACUUUGAAAAGAGAGUUAAAAAGUACUUGAAAUUGCUAAGAGGGAAGCACUGGAAACCAGUCGUGAUUAUAUGUAUUUUUAAUGUUUAGUGUGGGAAUUUGUUCGAGUCGAUGAGCCCAAAGCCAUCUCUAGUUCAAAUGAACAUACGAGCAUGUCGUGCAUGUAAUCGAGUCAGAAUCAAUUUGAUUUGUGUGAGAAAGCUAUCACAACGGUAGGCGCCGGGUAGCAAUAUCUGUGUGCUGUUUAGUGUGGUAGUGCUAACAUAGGUUAGAUUGAGGGACAAUCGAAAUGCGCACCACUAGGUUAGCCGGCCUCAUUCCCUGGUUGCUCAAGGAGAUUGGACAACAAAGUUGUGCGUUUCCUGAAGGCUUCUACUGGUUUGUGUCGCUGAGCAGCUGCAUUCGAGAUUCUGACGAAAUGGUUUUCAUUGACCCGUCUUGAAACACGG